AGAGUUUGAUCCUGGCUCAGGACGAACGCUGGCGGCGUGCUUAACACAUGCAAGUCGAGCGAUGAAGCUCCUUCGGGAGUGGAUUAGCGGCGGACGGGUGAGUAACACGUGGGUAACCUGCCUCAUAGAGGGGAAUAGCCUUUCGAAAGGAAGAUUAAUACCGCAUAAGAUUGUAGUACCGCAUGGUAUAGCAAUUAAAGGAGUAGUCCGCUAUGAGAUGGACCCGCGUCGCAUUAGCUAGUUGGUGAGGUAACUGCUCACCAAGGCGACGAUGCGUAGCCGACCUGAGAGGGUGAUCGGCCACAUUGGGACUGAGACACGGCCCAGACUCCUACGGGAGGCAGCAGUGGGGAAUAUUGCACAAUGGGGGAAACCCUGAUGCAGCAACGCCGCGUGAGUGAUGACGGUCUUCGGAUUGUAAAGCUCUGUCUUUAGGGACGAUAAUGACGGUACCUAAGGAGGAAGCCACGGCUAACUACGUGCCAGCAGCCGCGGUAAUACGUAGGUGGCAAGCGUUGUCCGGAUU
RNAcentral lists this ribosomal RNA (526 nucleotides) under uncultured Clostridium sp. RNAcentral describes it as "bacterial SSU rRNA". It matches the Rfam family "Bacterial small subunit ribosomal RNA", at positions 8 to 551 of the family's 1533-position model. The record is from RNAcentral. Lineage: Bacteria; Bacillati; Bacillota; Clostridia; Eubacteriales; Clostridiaceae.